GACGUAGGGCGCGAGCGUUGUCCGGAUUUAUUGGGCGUAAAGCGCUCGUAGGCGGCUUGUCGCGUCGUCUGUGAAAUCCCACGGCUCAACUGUGGGCUUGCAGUCGAUACGGGCAGGCUGGAGUUCGGUAGGGGAGACUGGAAUUCCUGGUGUAGCGGUGAAAUGCGCAGAUAUCAGGAGGAACACCGGUGGCGAAGGCGGGUCUCUGGGCCGAUACUGACGCUGAGGAGCGAAAGCGUGGGGAGCGAACAGG
This 253-nucleotide ribosomal RNA is filed under the name uncultured bacterium. RNAcentral's name for it is "partial 16S ribosomal RNA". It matches the Rfam family "Bacterial small subunit ribosomal RNA", at positions 524 to 776 of the family's 1533-position model. The record is from RNAcentral.